AUUGAACGCUGGCGGCAGGCUUAACACAUGCAAGUCGAACGGCAGCGGGGGAGAAGCUUGCUUUUCCUGCCGGCGAGUGGCGAACGGGUGAGUAAUACAUCGGAACGUGCCCUGUAGUGGGGGAUAACUAGUCGAAAGAUUAGCUAAUACCGCAUACGACCUGAGGGUGAAAGUGGGGGACCGCAAGGCCUCAUGCUAUAGGAGCGGCCGAUGUCUGAUUAGCUAGUUGGUGGGGUAAAGGCCUACCAAGGCGACGAUCAGUAGCUGGUCUGAGAGGACGAUCAGCCACACUGGGACUGAGACACGGCCCAGACUCCGACGGGAGGCAGCAGUGGGGAAUUUUGGACAAUGGGCGAAAGCCUGAUCCAGCAAUGCCGCGUGUGUGAAGAAGGCCUUCGGGUUGUAAAGCACUUUUGUCCGGAAAGAAAUGGCUCUGGUUAAUACCUGGGGUCGAUGACGGUACCGGAAGAAUAAGGACCGGCUAACUACGUGCCAGCAGCCGCCGUAA
This 508-nucleotide ribosomal RNA is filed under the name uncultured bacterium. RNAcentral describes it as "partial 16S ribosomal RNA". It matches the Rfam family "Bacterial small subunit ribosomal RNA", at positions 30 to 523 of the family's 1533-position model. The record is from RNAcentral.